GGGCGGUUAGCUCAGUUGGUAGAGCAUCCCGUUGACGUCGGGAAGGUUCAUAGGUUCGAGCCCUAUACCGCCCACCA
RNAcentral lists this transfer RNA (77 nucleotides) under Candidatus Staskawiczbacteria bacterium. Its description in RNAcentral is "tRNA-Val". It matches the Rfam family "tRNA". From Rfam's summary of the family: Transfer RNA (tRNA) molecules are approximately 80 nucleotides in length. The record is from RNAcentral. Lineage: Bacteria; Candidatus Staskawicziibacteriota.